UCCACGCCGUAAACGAUGUCGACUUGGAGGUUGUUCCCUUGAGGAGUGGCUUCCGGAGCUAACGCGUUAAGUCGACCGCCUGGGGAGUACGGCCGCAAGGUUAAAACUCAAAUGAAUUGACGGGGGCCCGCACAAGCGGUGGAGCAUGUGGUUUAAUUCGAUGCAACGCGAAGAACCUUACCUACUCUUGACAUCCACGGAAUUCGGCAGAGAUGCCUUAGUGCCUUCGGGAACCGUGAGACAGGUGCUGCAUGGCUGUCGUCAGCUCGUGUUGUGAAAUGUUGGGUUAAGUCCCGCAACGAGCGCAACCCUUAUCCUUUGUUGCCAGCGAUUCGGUCGGGAACUCAAAGGAGACUGCCGGUGAUAAACCGGAGGAAGGUGGGGAUGACGUCAAGUCAUCAUGGCCCUUACGAGUAGGGCUACACACGUGCUACAAUGGCGCAUACAAAGAGAAGCGACCUCGCGAGAGCAAGCGGACCUCACAAAGUGCGUCGUAGUCCGGAUCGGAGUCUGCAACUCGACUCCGUGAAGUCGGAAUCGCUAGUAAUCGUGGAUCAGAAUGCCACGGUGAAUACGUUCCCGGGCCUUGUACACACCGCCCGUCACACCAUGGGAGUGGGUUGCAAAAGAAGUAGGUAGCUUAACCUUCGGGAGGGCGCUUACCACUUUGUGAUUCAUGACUGG
RNAcentral lists this ribosomal RNA (684 nucleotides) under Pantoea sp. ZMQR4. RNAcentral's name for it is "bacterial SSU rRNA". It matches the Rfam family "Bacterial small subunit ribosomal RNA", at positions 794 to 1478 of the family's 1533-position model. Lineage: Bacteria; Pseudomonadati; Pseudomonadota; Gammaproteobacteria; Enterobacterales; Erwiniaceae. The record is from RNAcentral.